Molecule: RNA transcript, 9136 nt
Organism: Sphaeramia orbicularis (orbiculate cardinalfish)
Lineage: Eukaryota; Metazoa; Chordata; Actinopteri; Kurtiformes; Apogonidae
Gene: celf6
Gene name: CUGBP Elav-like family member 6
Exons: 14
Source: RefSeq, a predicted model, not a curated record
GAGGAAGAUAUAACGAAAGGGGGAGUGUGUUCUGUACAGUUGACUGUAGAGAGAGAGGGGGGAAAGGAGAGAGAGAGCGAGAGAGAGAGAGAGAGAGAGAGAGAGAGAGAGAGAGUGAGCAGCCGCCGGCCCAUUGAGGAAAGAUGGCUACAGUCACUGCAAACGGAGUGCAGCAAGAGAAUGGAUUCAGCACCACGAACAGCGCCGGCAGGAUGAACGGGCUUACCAUCGGCCAGAACACCAUUCCAAUGAAGGACCACGACGCCAUCAAGCUUUUCAUCGGGCAGAUUCCCAGAAACCUGGAGGAAAAAGACCUGAAACCCCUGUUUGAGGAAUUCGGAAAGAUAUACGAACUCACUGUACUGAAAGACAGGUUUACGGGAAUGCAUAAAGGAUGUGCCUUUCUUACAUACUGUGCCAGAGAGUCUGCACUGAAGGCCCAGAGCGCCCUCCAUGAACAGAAGACUCUGCCAGGGAUGAACCGGCCCAUCCAGGUGAAGCCAGCCGACAGCGAAGGACGAGGAGAAGACAGGAAGCUGUUUGUGGGAAUGCUCGGCAAGCAGCAGAGCGAGGAUGACGUCCGGCGGCUGUUCGAGACCUUCGGCCAGAUCGAGGAGUGCACCGUCCUGCGAGGGCCUGAUGGGGCCAGUAAGGGCUGUGCCUUUGUCAAGUUCUCCAGCCACGCAGAAGCCCAAGCCGCCAUCAACAGCUUGCACGGUGGACAGACUAUGCCUGGAGCCUCAUCGAGUUUGGUAGUCAAGUUUGCAGACACUGAUAAGGAGAGGACCCUGCGCAGGAUGCACCAGAUGGCAGGCCAGCUCGGCAUCUUCAGUCCCAUGACCAUCCAGUUUGGGGCCUAUGGCGCCUACUCUCAUGCUGUAAGUCUCAGCCCGGCGGGGGAGGAGACGCAGAUGAUGCAACAGCAAGCAGCCCUGAUGGCAGCAACACAAGGGUCCUACCUGAACCCCAUGGCAGCCAUCGCUGCGGCGCAAAUGCAGCAAAUGGCAGCUUUCAAUGUCAACGGCCUGGUAGCUACUCCCAUGACACCGUCCUCAGGCACCAGCACACCCCCAGGCAUCAGUGCCACAGCCGUCCCCAGCAUAGCCACCCCUAUUGGGGUCAACGGAUUCAGCGCCCUUCCGCCUCAAAGCAACGGGCAGCCCACCUCUGAGCCCAUCUACACCAAUGGUAUUCAUCCUUACCCAGCACAGAGUCCAACGGUGACCGACCCUCUCCAACAGGCUUAUGCUGGCGUCCAACACUACGCAGCAGCCUACCCUGCCGCCUAUGCGCCAAUCAGCCAAGCGUUCCCCCAGCAACCAACCAUCAUUCCCCAGCAACAGAGGGAAGGGCCAGAAGGUUGCAACCUGUUUAUUUAUCACCUGCCCCAGGAGUUCGGAGAUGCUGAACUCAUGCAAAUGUUCCUGCCUUUUGGCAACGUCAUCUCGGCCAAAGUCUUCGUAGACCGAGCAACCAAUCAGAGCAAAUGUUUUGGCUUUGUGAGUUUUGAUAACCCGUCCAGUGCUCAAGCCGCUAUCCAGGCCAUGAACGGCUUUCAGAUAGGCAUGAAGAGGCUGAAGGUGCAGCUAAAGCGGCCAAAGGACGCCAACCGACCUUACUGACUCAUCUGCUGUCCGUAUCCAGUGUGAGGUGGCCUUUCUCCGCUAUAGCCACAUCCCCCCACACCUGUCAUGGGGCCAAGUUCCCACAGCUGAUGAAGGGCCACAACACCUUAUUUCCACAAGUGCAGUAAAAGUACAAAGACUUCUUGCUCUGCUACAUAUCAUGAAGGAAGGGUGGUCCCUUGAUCCUGCUGGAAACCCACUGAAAGAUUGGGUGACUAAGAGAAGGAUCCCAGAGUCUUUUUUUUUAUUUUUUAUUUUAUUUUACUUUUUCUUUCUUCGCAAAUGCCUAUUUUUUCCCUGUUUUGCUUUGGCGUCUGUGGAAGAAGAUUUUUUGCAGAGACCAACUUUUUGCUGCUGUUUUUUAGACAUGAUGGGAAAAAAAACCUUUAUAGACUCAUUAUGCUCAAAGCAUGCAUACUGACACAGGAUAUAGAUAAACACACAGAUAACAAACCAAACAUACACAUUUAAAGAUGCUACACCUAAAAAAUAUGAAAAAAACUACUUUGUACAUGUAUAAAUACGUGCAAAUGCCAACUCAAGUACUGAAGCAAACACAUGCGUGUGCGCACACAGACAUACACACAAACACACACACCAGCCUGCUGCCAUUUUGGUUUUUGUGCCUACACAGGUGUUGUGCUCUGUGACAGGGCAAGCUCUGGAUUGAUGAAGAAAAAGAGAAGAACGAAGAGGAAAGGAGAGGACAGAAGAGAAGAGAAGAGAAGAGAAGAGAAGAGGAGAAUCCAGGAUAAUUUACAUGCAUCAUUCCUUAGGAAAUAGGGACCAAAGGACUAAACGCUUUUUAAAAGAAUAUAAAUAUAUAAAUAUAUAAAUAUAUAUUUAAAAACUCAUACCUUGUAGCUGCAAGUAUUACAAUUUACUCGUAGUCAAAAAAAUCAUUAAAUCAAUAUCCAGUGGCCUACUGUAAGUAUGAAUAAAAGAAAAUGGAAAUAAUGUAUUAAAAAAAGACAUGGAAUCGUAGUAUAGGGGCUGACCUUUUGCUCUGGAUGCUGAUUUAGCACCAGGUUGUAGAAUAGUAAAAGUAGAUUAGAAAAAAAAGUAGAUUUGCUAACUUUUGCUGUUGUUUAAAAAAAAUACUUGAAGUCGUAUUGAAAAGGGGCAAAUGGGAGGAUAUAAAGGAAACAUUCAUCUGCCCCUGUACGCAAUGAGUCUCUCUCUCUUGGAUGUUAAGGUAUCAGCCACUGGAUAUCUCGCUCAUCACAAUGUAUAAGUCACCACAGUCUCUGACAGCUAUGAACAGACUGUUUUGGAAAUCACAAAAAAAAGAAUGACAUGAUAAGAUAAAAAAGACUGAACUUCUGAACGUCUGUGCUGGACAGGGUGCAGAUGUUUAAGGCUUUUCAGUAGCCUUUGUGUUCAAGCGACAAUCCACUGUAAAGACCAAGCUAAAUGGACAUGGGGAGUCUUUUUGUUUUAUUUUGUUCCGUUACUUUUCUUUUUCUUUGUUUGGUUUGUUUUCAUUUUACUUGACCUUUCGUAUUGCAACAUGGAGUGUGAACUAUAAAGCCACAAAUUGUUAAAGGAAGAUGAUUCCACUAAGACAAAUGGACAAAUGAAAAGGAUUUGAAAGAGGGGAGGGGAAGUAAGGUGACAGCUACUGAAACUGCCAGCAGAAAGAACUCACGGUGUUAGAAUUCCUACAGAAACAAAGUAUACCCAUUAGAAAAAAAAAAAAAAAUCAGCCUUAUACAAGCAAUAUGCCAAGGAUGUCUGUAUCCACGGGAGUCGCUGCAAAAUUCCAGAUUGAGAAAAAUUGCUUCUCGUCACUUGGCAGAAGCAAACAAACAUUUCUCUGAAGACAAACUUAAUUUACUGUAUUGAUGGCAAAGGAGUGCAGGCUUUUAGAGCUCAUUUAGCUCUGCCAAAUAUAAUGUAAAUUCCACAGUUAACAUGUUCCCAGACUUUCUUCAUAUAUAAUACAUAAAGCCUAUUGAGAAAAAAAAAACCUGUGCUUAAACAGACGAUGUCUAAAUUAGAUCUAACAUUCACGCUUAACCAUUAUUCAGCUAGUUUGUAGCCUCUCUGACACUGACGCCAGACAGGACAGAGUAAAGCACUCGGCUGCUGUCAUGUCUUGAUUUAGAGUCCUGCAGCCUUUAUUUUGACUUUUUUACAGCUCAGAAUAGAGGCGCUUGUCUAAAAGCAGAUCAAUAUGUUUGGAAUGGGUCGAGAGGGAGGAACAAUGCUGUUUCAGUCAAUCUAAGGACUUCCCAAUUUUUCUCCGUCCAACACCAGCUCACAUCCGUACACCAGCCCUUUGAGCCUUGACAGCUGGCCAUAAGAGCGGAAGAGGGAGGGAAGGAGAUGUGAAAACACCAGAAGGCAAUACAAAAAACAAACAAAACAUUAUUUUGUAACCCUUUAAAAGUAUGCUCAUAGAUAGACUCCCGAUGAUUUAACAUAAAAAUAUACUUCAUCUGUCUUGUACUGUAUGUGAGGAUUGAAAUAUUAGAGUAGAUUUGGAUCCUCUUCUAGACCUUCCCUUCACAUUUUUUCUGUUGUUCUUCAAAGGAAAUACCAGACAGGGCCCAUUCCAAAUCACAGAAGGAGGGACCGAGAAAAUGUGCCAGCAGUUUCCACAGAAUCAAUGCACUGCCAUUCGUUGUCAUUUAAAUAAGCAGAAGGUCUUGAUUUGAGUUCUUGAUAGCAGCGUGCCAUGCACUCCCUUUGUUUUCCCUGUCCUAAGAGCAGCCAUGCCUUUCCAAACCUCAGCACAACUGUUCAGCGACUCUCCCUUGGAGAAGCAUUUUCGAACCCGGCUAAUGUCUGUGCUCACUACCCUUCAAUUAUCUCCUGCACCGUAUUAGACAUGCUAUUUCACCUUUCUCCCUAAUCACACUGUAAUCACCAGCCUCUAUACAUUAGCAGCAACCAAGUGAAAAAUCACUGGGAUAAUCACUUGGACCAAAUGACGGGAGAGAUGGUCCCCUGCAUGCACAUGGAUGACAGAAGGAAGAUUAGAGAGAAUUAUGUUUGUGCCUACUCCCUGGCAAGGCUGCUGACAGCUGACCUGGCACCAAUAAUACUGCCGAAUUUACUCAAAGAGGCGAUGGAGACUGUGGGAUGAAGCCUUCUGCAUUUUAGAUAGGUGUUAUUAUCAUUGUAGACAUUGACACUGACAUUACAAAAACUUUUAGGAAGAAAGUAGGCAGCCAAAUGUAUGACAGCUUCUUUCUUUAGUACAAACAUUGCAACAACAGUUGCUUGAAACUGGGUCAAACCCAUUCUGGUAAAAACCCUCAAUUCUGUAGAAGCAGCUACAGUAAACCCUGUGUCAUUGUGCUUCAGUGCAUAAUUCUGUUCAACCUACAGUAUCUCUACAGGGGCCACUGUAUUUGUUUUCAUUUUCAAAAUAACUUUGUACACAUUUAUUUCUUUUUUUUUUGCUUGUACCCCUGCUAGGACACCAGCAAAGCACCUUGCUGUCCAGCGCUAAAAGAAUAUUUGUGAAGAACAGUAGUUCUUCAGAUUUGCAGUUAUGCCCUUCAAAAUGACAAAUUGCCUUCAGGAACAUCUAAGGUAAAACUGCUGUCUAGCAUGUGAGGCAAGAAGCUUCUUGAAUUUAUGUGAAGUAGGUCAAAACAAAGCCAUGUUAUGCAAACAAUUUGUGCUCAUUAUAUGUAAGAAGCUGAACAAAUCGGUCGCAAAUCUAAUGUUCCAUGAGCAAUCAAAUUUCCUGUGCGUGUCUCUGCCAUAUAUACAGUAUGUUCUGCAAGUAAGGCUCUGUGAGGCUGAACAUAAACCCUGCAUGCCUGCUCCAAUGAUCCUUUCUGUCUUACAACUUUUAUACCAGAUGCUGCACUAGUUCCCACUGCUAAUGGCAGGUUGAGUCCCCGGUGAGCCAAAGCCCAGCCUAGCCUAGUACCCUGCUGUCUGCUUGGCUAACGGUGCAGUGUUAUGUAGCAUCUCUGAUAUGCCAGGGCUAAAUUAGGCAACGUGAAAUCAGCACUUCAACACUUUUAACAAGGGUGCUCUUAUUACUUUUACACCCUGGGGAGGAUGAUACUGAAGUGACGUGCUUUAAAAACAGAAAUAGCUGUGAAAUAUUCUCUGGAACAAGUGAAACAAGAAAAGAGUUUGUUUUUAAGUACUUUCAUUCCUUUAUUUAUUGACAGGAAUUGCUGACUGCUGUGCUCAUCGCCUCAGUUUGGUGUAUGUUUGGUCCAAAGAGAUGAUGGAACCUGUCAUUUUAGCCUAAAGAAAUGAAUCCAUGAAUUGUGAGAACAUAAUAUUAAGCAUAUAAGGUUAAACAUGCAAAAACUAAAUACAUAUAUAUAUAUAUAAAAACAAAAAGAAGGAAUACUGCACACAACUAAAAUACAUAUUUUAGACUACAGCAUUCCUGGCACUGAUGGAUUUACCUACUCUGAUCCUAUGUCAUCAAAUUAUAAAUUAAGUAGCAUAUAUACAUACUAGACCAAUUUCAUUAACUGCCACUACAGCACUGCUGAAAACUAAGUCCUCUAGGAGCAUAUGUCCUUAGAGAGCCUGUCCAAUGGCGAGGCCAAGCAGAGAACUGCUAAAGCAUGUCUACCCCUCUCCAAUCCCCUGGGUGCAUAACACUCACCCUAAAAUAGCAGUGAUUGUCAAGGAAAGGAAGUGAAAUGUAAUUGACUGAAAGUGGAGAGAUAAUUAAAGGAACCUGUUGGACAGGAGGGGAGAAAUUAAUGCCUCUCAUUUAAUAGCUGCUUUGGGAGAGAGCUUUUCCGUCAUCUCGCUUUAGCGCGGAACAGGUUUUGCUGUGGAAAUGGGGAUUUUGUAUGAGGGGAAAAAAAAGGUGCAGGUGGAAAUAGGCACUGGGUGGUGGGGGUGCUGUGUGCUAAACUGAAACUCCACAAAAUCGCUCCCAAUACUCAGGGCAUCAGGCGCUAUGAUGUCAUGAUUAGUGGAGAGGUUCAGAGCCUUGCCUUACCCCUGAUCCUGAGGGAGGUCGCGUAGAAUCACAAAUAUGAGGUCAGAGGGAGCUAUAAGAUCGCAUCUCAUGGCAGGGAGUGCUGAGCUAGCAGAAGGGCUGAUGAACCACCUAAAUCGUGUUUUGGAUUUAUAGCAUCAUCAUCCAGUUCCAAGAGUUAAAAAAAGAAAGAAAAAAAAAAACAGGAAAAAAUGAUGCCAUGUCCACCCAACAAUGUACAGUUGAAUUGCUGUAGGUGUGCAACAACAUGGCUGAGAGUAAUGAAGACAAAGACUUUUUUUAUUCCUUAAUGUAAAUAGCCUAUAAAAUACAAAAACAGAGAAAGGUUGUAUAGGAGCUUGUGUUGAGAAACCCAACUCUGUGGGACAAUGAUGUCACUAUAAAACGUAUCCACAGCAGUGCAGGGAUCUAGGAGAGUUUUAGUCCUUUUAAGCCCCUCAAGUUUGGACUCUGAACAUGCAUCCUACAACACUAAGCAUCGGACUGAGGCUUAGAGGGUAUUUGACUUAGUGUCAAGUCUAAGCUGUUGCCCUGGAGUGAUCCGUUAAUCAAGAUUCUGUGUACACCGACAUGUCAUGAUUUUUCUGACAGAAGCAAGAUCGCCUGUGCAGUAAUUGGAUUAGUCCAAUUGGGCCUGAUGAACAGAUAUGACAGUGACAGCAGAGUUCAUCCAUCUGCAUGCUUACUGCUUGACAGAGCGACCAAAAAAAUUAAAGAAAGAAAAAGCAAAAGCAAAAAAAAACAAACAAACAAACAAAAAAAAACAGCAGCCACCAUCACACUCUUUCAAAGUCUCUGGAAGUGAAAGAACAGACUUGGCAACACUGACAGUAGUUUUACAAAUGAAUCUUAAAGCUCCAGGAAUUUGUUUUGUUUAAUGUGUAGAUAAAUCAUUUUGGAAUCAAACGCGCAUUACAUAUCAUCGAAACCACAUUUACCAAGUUAUACAGAGAUAAGAGGAUGGGGACAAUGUCAAAAAAGACAUUAUAAAACCAGUUGACAGCCCCACCUGCUUGAACCAAUCUACCACUGCUCUCCUGACCAAACACAUGCAUUACCCGUGUACAUACAAUAUAGCUUAUUUUUCAAUUCUGUUAUACAUCCUUUAUAGACCAUACAAUAGAUCAUGUUCAAACAUUAAAAAAAAAAAAAAGAAAAGAAUAGUUAAUAUAUUUCAGUGAAACUAAGAGAGGGAACCUAUGAGAUAAUUUAUCAAAAACAGAAGAUAAAAUGAUUUUAUUUCUUGUAUAGUAAAGCACUGAUGUUAAAAGUGGGAUUUUAUACUCAUGUUUAGUAAAUGGUUCUUUAUUUUCUCUCUUUUGAUUUAUUAUCGACUGAAGCUGGGAUGGGCCCAUUGUCAUGAGGUUUAUUAUGAUAUGUUUUAUUCAUAUGCUCUUUUUGGCUGCACAAUUCCUGUAUAAAGCCUCUAAUUUUUGGGCACAUUCAAAGAUACUGUAUCUCGCUCACCGAAAACUCCUGAAGAAAUACAAUUAACAAACUGCACUGUAAAAUGGUGAUUGAUGGUACUGGUCAAAAAAAACAAUGAUAAUCAGCUUUACAUGUUGAAAGAGAAUCUCAUUUGAGGCCUUUUGUUGUUUUUGAAAAAAGUAAGAAAUGAAACGUAGUAUUCAUGUUGAUUUUCAGAUCUAUGCUGUCAUAUCCCAUUGUUAUUGCCAUGAAUGGAUUCCUGUAUUGUAAUUUUCUUUGUGUAACUGUUGGGGUUUUUUGUAUGUUUUCUUAAGGUUUGGUAAUCACUGGCAUAUCUGUGAUUUGCAUCGUCUGAUCUUACUUAUGGAGGGUUACUUUCCACCUCAGUGUUUUUGAGAUCAAUUGUUUUAAUGUACAACAUCCACUAAAUGUGUUGUACCAGCAGUAAAUUGUGCCACAUUGCUUCGCUCCAGUCAGAUUGAUUUGUUGAUGUGAGGAGAGGAUUCUGCCUUAAACCCAGUCUGUUCUCUCUGACAGUACUACCUGUGAACAGUGGUCGGACACACAGUAUUCUGGGGAUGCCAAAUGCUUCAUCUUUGAAGGUGAAUAAUCUGUUGUAAAGACAAAUACUUUGCCAGAGUCAGUUUAGCCUCAAGCCCAUUCUGACACAAAUAAGGACGUGGUCAUCCACUUCCAUUUCCACUGGUUACAAGGACCAAAUUGUAAACAAACUCAGCUAACUGAGCAGUUUGCUCCAAUCAAGCAUUCAAAUAGAGCCUUUAAAGAAUUCACAUUUAGUCGUAGAAAUGUUUGCACCAUGAAUCUUUGUAUCAUGAAUCAUUGCAUUCCCAGCUUCACUGUCUAAUUUCAUAUAAUUCAUUUAUUCUCAUGCAAAAUUAAUUUAUCAUAAUAUAUUUAAGUAUUUAUGAAUGAGUGGAAUGAUUAUUUGUUUUAUGAUUUGACUUGAACAAACUGAGUUACUGUUUUCUUUUCGUUUGAAACAGAGAUGUAAUUUGAAUUAGCGUUGGCUCGGGUCCGUUCCCCUGAUUCGGAGUGAUAACUCCCAUAGUGCUCCUGAACUCUGUAGUUCUCUAGUUCAUUAUAUUCCGCUUAGACUAAAAUAAAGCACAGUCCUGUAGAAAACUGA